UGGGGAAUCUUGGACAAUGGGCGCAAGCCUGAUCCAGCCAUGCCGCGUGAGCGAUGAAGGCCUUAGGGUUGUAAAGCUCUUUCACCGGUGAAGAUAAUGACGGUAGCCGGAGAAGAAGCCCCGGCUAACUCCGUGCCAGCAGCCGCGGUAAUACGGAGGGGGCUAGCGUUGUUCGGAAUUACUGGGCGUAAAGCGCGCGUAGGCGGACUGAUCAGUCAGGGGUGAAAUCCCGGGGCUCAACCCCGGAACUGCCUUUGAUACUGUCAGUCUUGAGUCCGGAAGAGGUGAGUGGAAUUCCAAGUGUAGAGGUGAAAUUCGUAGAUAUUUGGAGGAACACCAGUGGCGAAGGCGGCUCACUGGCUCGAUACUGACGCUGAGGUGCGAAAGUGUGGGGAGCAAACAGGAUUAGAUACCCUGGUAGUCCACACCGUAAACGAUGAAUGCCAGUCGUCGGGUAGCAUGCUAUUCGGUGACACACCUAACGGAUUAAGCAUUCCGCCUGGGAGUACGGUCGCAAGAUUAAAAGCUC
This 529-nucleotide ribosomal RNA is filed under the name uncultured bacterium. RNAcentral's name for it is "bacterial SSU rRNA". It matches the Rfam family "Bacterial small subunit ribosomal RNA", at positions 355 to 902 of the family's 1533-position model. The record is from RNAcentral.